This 1117-nucleotide long non-coding RNA is filed under the name Mus pahari (shrew mouse). Its description in RNAcentral is "lncRNA (MGP_PahariEiJ_G0004206.1)". The record is from RNAcentral. Lineage: Eukaryota; Metazoa; Chordata; Mammalia; Rodentia; Muridae.
GGCAAUGGGGGCAGAGAGGCAGGCAAGUCUGGGCUCGGCCAGGGAGCUCCGGGCCUGGCGCGCGGCUGUGGGUGCCACGCGAGGACUGGGGUGCAGUAGAGACUGCCCGCGCGCGACUCCAACCCGAGAGCGAGGGUCGAAAACCACAGAUAAUGGUGCUGCUGGAUCAUUGCUAUUUAAAGUAGUGGAGAUGCCCAAGGUCACAUGGCCUAUGAAAAACUGCUCUCCCUUCCAAGGACCCAGUGAUCUUUAGACCAGCUCAAGUGUCCGUCCUGAAACUCGAGUCUGAGUUUCACUCAUCUGGAAACACUCAGCAGCAAGCAUCAGCCCCUCCUCGUGACAGAGGUGCAGCUUGCUCUCUCUGGACCCAUGAUGCUCAGGACUUUCUUUAGCACCAAUGAAUGUCUGGCAUUCAGGCCUGAGUUCCAGCAAGUAGCCUGGGCAGUGGAUGCAUCACUGUAACAGACAGAAUUGAUGGGGAAAAAUGCCUACUGCCCCAAGGACCCUGAGUGGCUCUUGCUGCCCUGACUGCCCCCCUGGGAGUUGUCUUCAGGGUCCCUCAGAAACCCUUACAAUCUACCACCACCAGAGAAACUCUUGCUUCAGCAAGGCAUAUCUGAGGCGCUUCUCUGGAAUUUCUGCCAGUGGCCAUCCUGAGUGGCCCGGGGUGUGGUUGGAUUUUGGACUCCCAAUCCUGCUCUCGAUACUUGCUCUCCACACAUCACCAGAAAGCGUCCAGGCUCAGCGCACUUCUCCAUUCCGUUAUUGCCGCCCAUGAGCUCCCUCCUGUUUGGAAUUCCUUGGAUUCUAUUUCCAUUCAUCCGACAUACAACUGUAUGCAAUCUCGGUUUUGAUACAACUUUCCCAGCCUGUGAUGUAUAUUUCUCUGGUUUUCUUUGAAAUGCCCAGCGUGAAACAUAUCUAAUGCAAUGUUUUGUACUCUUCGUGACACAUAGCUGUCAGGGGAUUCAAAUCACAAGAUAGAAUGUAAUACGCCGUGGGGGAGUAGGGGGACCCCACACACCCUUGAAACAGAAGGAUGUUGCUGAGAUGGUCCAGUGCCUUACCCUGUCAUUCUGAUGCUCAGUCAGAAAAUAAAAGCUCUGGUUGAAUUGGC